UACGUAGGGACCGAGCGUUGUCCGGAAUCAUUGGGCGUAAAGAGCGUGUAGGCGGCCGAUCAAGUUCCGCGUGAAAUCUCACGGCUCAACCGUGAGCAGCCGUGGAAAACUGGUCGGCUAGAGUGCGGGAGAGGAGAGUGGAAUUCCUGGUGUAGCGGUGAAAUGCGCAGAUAUCAGGAAGAACACCCGUGGCGAAGGCGGCUCUCUGGAACGCAACUGACGCUGAGACGCGAAAGCGUGGGGAGCGAACAGG
This 253-nucleotide ribosomal RNA is filed under the name uncultured bacterium. RNAcentral's name for it is "partial 16S ribosomal RNA". It matches the Rfam family "Bacterial small subunit ribosomal RNA", at positions 524 to 776 of the family's 1533-position model. The record is from RNAcentral.